CUCCUGCAACUUUUAGAUGUAUCUCUACUUCAACACACCUGAGUCAAAUAAUGAGGUCAUUAGCAGGACUCUGGAGAACUUGACUGCACUUAGGAGGUGAGUCAGCUGUUGGAUCCAAGAGUGUUUCAAGGGAGACAUCUAAGAGUAGCAGGACACCGGCCCUCGAGGACCAGGAUUGCCCACCCCUGCACCAGAGUCUGUGUG
This is a long non-coding RNA of Xiphophorus couchianus (Monterrey platyfish), 204 nucleotides long. RefSeq lists it as uncharacterized. The transcript has 3 exons. The record is from RefSeq and is a predicted model, not a curated record. Lineage: Eukaryota; Metazoa; Chordata; Actinopteri; Cyprinodontiformes; Poeciliidae.